This is a long non-coding RNA of Quercus robur (English oak), 1301 nucleotides long. RefSeq lists it as uncharacterized. The record is from RefSeq and is a predicted model, not a curated record. The transcript is spliced from 2 exons. Lineage: Eukaryota; Viridiplantae; Streptophyta; Magnoliopsida; Fagales; Fagaceae.
CCGAGCCCUAACCUUGUUCAUUCGCAACCCCAAUUUGGGGAUUCCAAUUGGGGCUAAUUCAUAAUUUUAAAUAGCUUCAGGACCAAUCUCAAACUUCCUAAAUUUUCAAAGAAAACCCAUUUAUCUGUUUCUCUUUCAUUCCGUGGCUUUCAUGUUAGCUUUGGAACCCGCAUAUCUUGAAAUCCAUUUCUCUUUCUCUCGCAGAGCGCUUCCAAUGAGCCAAGUCCGUGAAGCCCGUUUAGCUGAUUGUUGAAGUGGGCUAGGUGAGGGAUUAUAAGUCCUCAGCAGUUGGCAUAGCAAAGGAGACAAAUUGCAAUGACAAAGGCCUAAUGCAGAGGGUGAAUCAUACAACGUGGCUGUUAUUUUAAGUGGACCAAAUGAAUUAUGUUGAAUGCAUCAAUAUGGACUAUAUGUCACCAAAGAAAACAAUCAUUUGAUGAUUUUCAGCUUGAUGUCAAAGGUUGUCAAGAUGUUUAAUGCUUCUUUUGACAAGUAUGUGAAAGUGGAAUUUCUUGAGGGUGAUUGUUUAAGAGAGAGAGAUUGACCAUUGAAUCUACUUUGACCAAUAUUCUGUAGAAAUUUAAACAGAUUAAGAUUUACUCCAAAAGGUCUGAAAGAGGAGAAUUUGUUAUACUAAUAGUGAUAUGAAAACAGCAACUACAAUGGUUUUUACUUUGACAUAAGUUUCCGAUUGUGCUUCCUUUCCUUUUGUACCUGGUUUAUAGUCAUAUGUCAUCUGCUACUGCUUAUUCAUUACUAGGACAAAUUCAUUUGCUGUUGCUUAUUGUUGUGAUUCUUGAAACCCCUUUAGCUGAUUGUUGAAGCAGGGCUCCUAGCAAGCUAGGGGCUGGAAGUGCCCCCAUUGAGCAUUGGGGGAGGUGGAGGUCUCUUCUGAUGUGAGCCUAGCAAUGGAGCAGUGUUGUGGCUCACAAAGGUCCUUUGACUGAAACUUGGAGAAGGGAUAUAAGUGACCGGAUUGGGGGCAGAGGGAGGGACUUGGUAUCUCAAAGGAGAGACACUGUGGCUGGCUAAGUCUUUUGUCGGAUAGAUGAUGGAGUGACUUGACUUUGCAAUGACUCAAACAAAUGGUUUUUAUUAACUAUAUUUUGCUCUUCUCUAUGGAACAUUCUGCUAGCCCCAUGUGCAUAUGCAUGUAUGCUUGUGAGAUGAAACACUGCUCUGAUUAUGAGAAGCAAAUUUUGAAGCCUCAUCUUGUUCUGUAAGUAUAUAUAGAGAUUUGAGAGCAAUUUGAUGGAGAAUGUCUUAGGCUUGUGGCUUUAUAAAGAGUGAUUUUUACCGCA